RNAcentral lists this unclassified non-coding RNA (466 nucleotides) under Hevea brasiliensis (rubber tree). The record is from RNAcentral. Lineage: Eukaryota; Viridiplantae; Streptophyta; Magnoliopsida; Malpighiales; Euphorbiaceae.
AGAACUCAAUUUCGUUAUUUUGGUUGAUAUCAAGGUUGAAUCGCGAAAUGGGUGUGGAUAGAGAGCAUUGCAGCAAUGGAGUUGAAGGAGAGUAUUAGUAUCGAACAAAAUCAAAUUGAAGUGAAAUUGUGAGUUGGAUAGGAGGAGGAAUCUCAGAAUUAACAUAAUCCAUCAGCUGGGAUUGUUAUCGUUCUUAUCCAAUUGCGAAAGGAUGAGGAUUCGAGUGGUGUGUGUUGGCCUUGUGCAUUGAAGCUCUCUAGUUUUGUUUGUUAUUUGUUUUGUUUUCUUCUUGCUUUUACCCAAAAGGAAAAAAAAGGUGUGGGGUGUGUUGUGCAACAGGAAUUUACAGGUUACCGGUACAUUUUCCUAUUGAAAGAAGCCACGAGUCUUCUCAUUUUUGGGCAAGUCAUGGUAUUUCUGCUACUGUAAGGGCCAUGGAUGAAUGUGUUUGGCUGCAGAAAGCAUC